Molecule: non-coding RNA, 24 nt
Filed under: Mus musculus (house mouse)
Lineage: Eukaryota; Metazoa; Chordata; Mammalia; Rodentia; Muridae
Source: RNAcentral
UCUCAGGGGACUCUCAGCAGGUAG